RNAcentral lists this ribosomal RNA (439 nucleotides) under uncultured bacterium. RNAcentral's name for it is "partial 16S ribosomal RNA". It matches the Rfam family "Bacterial small subunit ribosomal RNA", at positions 339 to 795 of the family's 1533-position model. The record is from RNAcentral.
CUACGGGCUGCACCAGUGAGGAAUAUUGCACAAUGGGGGGAACCCUGAUGCAGCAACGCCGCGUGGAGGAUGACGCAUUUCGGUGUGUAAACUCCUUUUAUAUGUCAAGAAAAUGACGGUAGCAUAUGAAUAAGCACCGGCUAACUCCGUGCCAGCAGCCGCGGUAAUACGGAGGGUGCAAGCGUUACUCGGAAUCACUGGGCGUAAAGGACGCGUAGGCGGGUUGGAAAGUCAGGUGUGAAAUCCUACAGCUUAACUGUAGAACUGCACUUGAAACUUCUAAUCUAGAGUAUGGGAGGGGGAGAUGGAAUUAGUGGUGUAGGGGUAAAAUCCGUAGAUAUCACUAGGAAUACCUAAAGCGAAGGCGAUCUCCUGGAACAUUACUGACGCUAAGGCGUGAAAGCGUGGGGAGCAAACAGGAUUAGAUACCCCGGUAGUC